UAUUCUACGGGGGGAACGAGAAGAACCUUAACAGGUCUUGACAUCCUUUGACCAUUCUGGAGACAGAACUUUCCCUUCGGGGACAAAGUGACAGGUGGUGCAUGGUUGUCGUCAGCUCGUGUCGUGAGAUGUUGGGUUAAGUCCCGCAACGAGCGCAACCCUUGAUUUUAGUUGCCAGCAUUUAGUUGGCCACUUUAAAGUGACUGCCGGUGUAAGCCGGAGGAAGGUGGGGAUGACGUCAAAUCAUCAUGCCCCUUAUGACCUGGGCUACACACGUGCUACAAUGGAUAAUACAAAGGGUCGCGAAGCCGCGAGGUGGAGCCAAUCCCAUAAAAUUAUUCUCAGUUCGGAUUGCAGGCUGCAACUCGCCUGCAUGAAGCCGGAAUCGCUAGUAAUCGUAGAUCAGCAUGCUUACCGGUGU
RNAcentral lists this ribosomal RNA (421 nucleotides) under uncultured Brochothrix sp. RNAcentral describes it as "bacterial SSU rRNA". It matches the Rfam family "Bacterial small subunit ribosomal RNA", at positions 948 to 1364 of the family's 1533-position model. Lineage: Bacteria; Bacillati; Bacillota; Bacilli; Caryophanales; Listeriaceae. The record is from RNAcentral.